Molecule: ribosomal RNA, 441 nt
Filed under: uncultured bacterium
Lineage: Bacteria
Description: partial 16S ribosomal RNA
Rfam family: Bacterial small subunit ribosomal RNA
Source: RNAcentral
CCUACGGGUGGCAGCAGUGGGGGAUAUUGCACAAUGGGGGAAACCCUGAUGCAGCGACGCCGCGUGGGUGAAGAAGUAUUUCGGUAUGUAAAGCCCUAUCAGCAGGGAAGAAAGAAGACGGUACCUGAAGAAGAAGCCCCGGCUAACUACGGGCCAGCAGCCGCGGUAAUACGUAGGGGGCAAGCGUUAUCCGGAUUUACUGGGUGUAACGGGGGCGCAGACGGCGAUGCAAGCCAGGAGUGAAAGCCCGGGGCCCAACCCCGGGACUGCUCUUGGAACUGCGUGGCUGGAGUGCAGGAGGGGCAGGCGGAAUUCCUGGUGUAGCGGUGAAAUGCGUAGAUAUCAGGAGGAACACCGGUGGCGAAGGCGGCCUGCUGGACUGCAACUGACGUUGAGGCCCGAAAGCGUGGGGAGCAAACAGGAUUAGAUACCCGGGUAGUC